This is a non-coding RNA of Pelobates cultripes (western spadefoot toad), 402 nucleotides long. Lineage: Eukaryota; Metazoa; Chordata; Amphibia; Anura; Pelobatidae. The record is from the annotation of a GenBank genome assembly.
CGUUUUUAUCUGGGACUUCUGCCAAUUUAAUGUGACUCAUUCGCUAACAUAUGCAUUAUUGUUUGGUAGGGAAGUACGAAGAAAAAGAAUUACAAGGCAACUAACAUGGGCUUGUGAGUAAAUAAAUAAAACAUGUAUUUUUAGAUACACAUGUGCUUUCUACUUACUAUUUAUAAACAACAUUCUAAAUUUCAACUGCUGUGGUUUUGUAUGUCAAAUUCCCACUAAAUAAUCAGUGUUGCUGAAAAAGCUUUACUGUAAACUUGGAAAAUGUAUCAUAUGCAGGAUACACCAUUGUAAAAUAUAUAUUUAAAUGGAAUCUGACCUACUUACCUGCCCCUCCCCCACUGCAAUCUCCCAGCAUUGUACAGGCUUAAAUAACCCAAUGUUCACUUAAGAGAU